Centruroides sculpturatus (bark scorpion) is the source of this 1224-nucleotide long non-coding RNA. RefSeq lists it as uncharacterized. Lineage: Eukaryota; Metazoa; Arthropoda; Arachnida; Scorpiones; Buthidae. The transcript has 2 exons. The record is from RefSeq and is a predicted model, not a curated record.
UAGUGUGAAAGGAAUUGGAACUCGUGCAGCAGACGUUAUUAAAAACUAUUCUGGAACAGAAUACAAAGUCGGUAGCAUAAUUCAAUUACUGUAUCCUUGUACAGGAAAUUCUGUAGAUUGGGCAUAUGCAGAGUUAGGUGUAAAGCAUUCAUUUGUUAUAGAAUUGAGAGACAAAGGAAGGGAAAAAUUUGAAUUAGAUCCGAGACAUAUAAUUCCAGUGGGUGAAGAAACUUGGAGUGGAAUGCGUUCAAUUAUUGCUGAUAUUUCGCAAUAAAAGUCUCCAUAAAUAACACAAGUUAACUAAUUAUAAUGUAAUGAAUUUUAUUUUUUUUUCUGUUGUCUCAAUAUUUUAAUUUAUUGAUACAAUUAAUUACUUAAGCUGCCCAUUCAUCUCGUUGCUUUACGUUAGUUAUAUUCUAUAUUCUGAAAUGGAAUAAAAAUAAAGGCUUUAAUUUUACGAUUCUUUCUACUGCCGCGUAUUAUUUUAAACGUAUCUUUUGAUUUAAGCCUCUUAAGGAAAAGCUAAACUCAACGUUGAAAACUUUAUAACGUAACUUCCGUUAUAAAUUUGCAGAUCAGUAAAGAACACUUUGAACUUUUUCCAUUUCAUUCUAAUAGAUCAAAGUUGACUCAAAUUAUUUUAAAAUUCGAUUUAUCUCUUAAGCAGUUAGUGUUUAUAUUCGAGACCGGAUGUCGCCACUUGUUUAUUAAUACAUUGUUUAACGAGCUAGAAUAUACUACAUAGUGUCUUCAGCGACGCCACGUUUAAAGAAAAUUGAAUACACGUUCGCCAUUUUCUUUUUAGUCAAGGGGCGUGCCAUUUGUGUUGCGUAAAGGCAACUAGCAAGGUUAUUCUAGCUCGUUGUGUAAAAGUGUGCAAAUCAAAGGAAGAGUUUUAAUCCUUAACUGAGAUGGUGCGAAUCAAAAUGAUCCUACUUAGUUUUUUUUUAAUUUUGAAAGUAACUUACAAGACAUUUCUUUCUUUAAUUAAUUAAUGAUCCUCUUGUAAAAGGACAAAUUAAUGCUUAUAUUAAAACAUCCGAAAUGCAACGAUAACGUUUGCACAUUUACAAAUUUUCUUUGGAGUUUAAAUUAAGGCAUUUAAAUUCUUAGUGUAAGUGUAUAAAAACAUUUUAAUGUACUGUACAAUACAGAACGUAUAGUAUUUUUCUACUGAGAAUUAUGUAAUACUUUGGCAAUAAAAUUUAUCGGUAUUAAUUGUUU